UACGAAGGGGGCUAGCGUUGUUCGGAGUUAUUGGGCGUAAAGGGCGCGUAGGCGGCGGGGUAAGUCGGGUGUGAAAUCUCAGGGCUCAACCCUGAAACUGCACUUGAUACUGCUCUGCUUGAGGACUGGAGAGGAGACUGGAAUUCACGGUGUAGCAGUGAAAUGCGUAGAUAUCGUGAGGAAGACCAGUGGCGAAGGCGGGUCUCUGGACAGUUCCUGACGCUGAGGCGCGAAGGCCAGGGGAGCAAACGGG
Molecule: ribosomal RNA, 253 nt
Filed under: uncultured bacterium
Lineage: Bacteria
Description: partial 16S ribosomal RNA
Rfam family: Bacterial small subunit ribosomal RNA
Source: RNAcentral